CUGGCUCAGGACGAACGCUGGCGGCGUGCCUAACACAUGCAAGUCGAACGGGGAUUAUAUUUGGAAGUUUCGGAUGGAGGGAUAUAAUUCUAGUGGCGAACGGGUGAGUAACACGUGAACAACCUGCCCUGAAGUGGGGGAUAACACUUGGAAACAAGUGCUAAUACCGCAUAAGACCACGACCCGGCAUCGGGAUGAGGUCAAAGAUUUAUCGCUUUAGGAGGGGUUCGCGUCCCAUUAGGUAGAUGGCGGGGUAACGGCCCACCGUGCCGACGAUGGGUAGCCGAGCUGAGAGGCUGAUCGGCCACACUGGAACUGAGACACGGUCCAGACUCCUACGGGAGGCAGCAGUGGGGAAUAUUGGGCAAUGGGCCGCAAGCCUGACCCAGCAACGCCGCGUGAGGGAAGAAGGUUUUCGGAUUGUAAACCUCUGUCGCAAGGGACGAAGAAGUGACGGUACCUUGUGAGGAAGCCCCGGCUAACUACGUGCCAGCCGCCGC
RNAcentral lists this ribosomal RNA (500 nucleotides) under uncultured bacterium. RNAcentral describes it as "bacterial SSU rRNA". It matches the Rfam family "Bacterial small subunit ribosomal RNA", at positions 19 to 518 of the family's 1533-position model. The record is from RNAcentral.